UGGGGAAUAUUGGACAAUGGGGGAACCCUGAUCCAGCCAUGCCGCGUGUGUGAAGAAGGCCUUAUGGUUGUAAAGCACUUUAAGCGAGGAGGAGGCUCUCUUGGUUAAUACCCAAGAAGAGUGGACGUUACUCGCAGAAUAAGCACCGGCUAACUCUGUGCCAGCAGCCGCGGUAAUACAGAGGGUGCGAGCGUUAAUCGGAUUUACUGGGCGUAAAGCGUGCGUAGGCGGCUUUUUAAGUCGGAUGUGAAAUCCCCGAGCUUAACUUGGGAAUUGCAUUCGAUACUGGGAAGCUAGAGUAUGGGAGAGGAUGGUAGAAUUCCAGGUGUAGCGGUGAAAUGCGUAGAGAUCUGGAGGAAUACCGAUGGCGAAGGCAGCCAUCUGGCCUAAUACUGACGCUGAGGUACGAAAGCAUGGGGAGCAAACAGG
RNAcentral lists this ribosomal RNA (429 nucleotides) under bacterium. RNAcentral describes it as "partial 16S ribosomal RNA". It matches the Rfam family "Bacterial small subunit ribosomal RNA", at positions 355 to 776 of the family's 1533-position model. The record is from RNAcentral.